Long non-coding RNA from Oncorhynchus tshawytscha (Chinook salmon), 853 nucleotides. NCBI's taxonomy places the organism in Eukaryota, Metazoa, Chordata, Actinopteri, Salmoniformes, Salmonidae. The record is from Ensembl.
CAAGGCUGUAUUCCAGAAACCAGCUUUUACUGAAGAUGAUUCGCAAAUUCUUCAACUUCAAUUAAAGACAGCUUAAUGCUAGCAAGCCCAAGGACAAGGAUGCCUUAUGUGUUUUGUUAAUUUAUGUUUAAAAUUCACAAGUUAUAGGUGUCCUUGUUACAAAGAGCACUUCUUGCAUCCGUAAGACUGUUACCUUUCAGAAAAACUCAAGUUCAAACCAAAUAAAAGGUUCACUGAUCAUUAUGGUAUGUGUCACUGUUACUGGGUAAGUCACCACCUCCGGGUCUACCUGCCUAUGGUAUCUCACUGAGCCAUGAAUGGCGCUGAGACCCUCCCAGGGAUGAGUCAUAGCCCCUGCCUGGGCUGACACCAGCACCUCAUUCACAGCCAAUAAUGAGACAUGCUAAUGAGAAGGCUGGCCGCCCUACAUGCUAGCCAUUAUGCAGUGCUGUGAUUCAUGCUCUGUUCUGUAGGAAACCAUCAUCAGGCCCGGUGCAUUGUGGGUCCAGAGAUUAACUCCAUGAUGAAGUCUUUCUAUAGUAUCAGGGUGAUUAUAUUUGAUCUAUGUCUCUCAUUCUUUGGCCUUGUGGUGAAGGAAAUCAGAGAGGAACUGCUUAUGGUGUGCAUGUGAAUGGAUUCAAUAUUGGCUUCAUGCAAUGUAAAAUACAUGUGGUCCACUUGAUUUAAUAUUGAACAUGUUAUAUUGAAAACCUUGUUUUAGUAUGGGUUUUCACCAGGGGCACAACUUUCACUGGGGAUGGGGGAUCAUGUCCCCUCCACAUUUUGAAAUUGCCCUCCCCCCCACACCCACAGUUGUAUAAUUGCAAUAUGAUACAAAAAGCGGCAACUAUGG